RNAcentral lists this ribosomal RNA (291 nucleotides) under uncultured bacterium. Its description in RNAcentral is "partial 16S ribosomal RNA". It matches the Rfam family "Bacterial small subunit ribosomal RNA", at positions 355 to 638 of the family's 1533-position model. The record is from RNAcentral.
UAGGGAAUCUUCGGCAAUGGGGGCAACCCUGACCGAGCAACGCCGCGUGAGUGAAGAAGGUUUUCGGAUCGUAAAGCUCUGUUGUAAGUCAAGAACGGGUGUGAGAGUGGAAAGUUCACACUGUGACGGUAGCUUACCAGAAAGGGACGGCUAACUACGUGCCAGCAGCCGCGGUAAUACGUAGGUCCCGAGCGUUGUCCGGAUUUAUUGGGCGUAAAGCGAGCGCAGGCGGUUUGAUAAGUCUGAAGUUAAAGGCUGUGGCUCAACCAUAGUUCGCUUUGGAAACUGUCA